AUUGAACGCUGGCGGCAUGCCUUACACAUGCAAGUCGAACGGCAGCACGGGUGCUUGCACCUGGUGGCGAGUGGCGAACGGGUGAGUAAUACAUCGGAACAUGUCCUGUAGUGGGGGAUAGCCCGGCGAAAGCCGGAUUAAUACCGCAUACGAUCUACGGAUGAAAGCGGGGGACCUUCGGGCCUCGCGCUAUGGGGUUGGCCGAUGGCUGAUUAGCUAGUUGGUGGGGUAAAGGCCUACCAAGGCGACGAUCAGUAGCUGGUCUGAGAGGACGACCAGCCACACUGGGACUGAGACACGGCCCAGACUCCUACGGGAGGCAGCAGUGGGGAAUGUUGGACAAUGGGCGAAAGCCUGAUCCAGCAAUGCCGCGUGUGUGAAGAAGGCCUUCGGGUUGUAAAGCACUUUUGUCCGGAAAGAAAUCCUUGGCCCUAAUACGGUCGGGGGAUGACGGUACCGGAAGAAUAAGCACCGGCUAACUACGUG
RNAcentral lists this ribosomal RNA (486 nucleotides) under uncultured bacterium. RNAcentral describes it as "partial 16S ribosomal RNA". It matches the Rfam family "Bacterial small subunit ribosomal RNA", at positions 30 to 507 of the family's 1533-position model. The record is from RNAcentral.